AAAAAAAAAAAAGGAAAGAAAAGAUCAGAUAGUUAAAUUUGUUGUAUUAAAGUGACUUGAAAAACACUACCACAUUGUGGACUUAUGGUGAACCUUCCCAUCAUUCAAUUGAAAUGUGCGUAAUGCCUAUAUUUCCUCCUUAAAUACGGUCCAAAAUAAGUUUGAUUCAUUUUUAGUUAAGCACAUAUUUAAUAAAUGAGAGUGCUAUGAGUUGAGUGGUGAUUUGUGGUUUCAGUCUAACUUGACUGCAACUUUCGGCCACUAAUGCUCUAAAGAUUUUGAGAGUUAUGCUAGAAGAGGAGAAAUGAUUGUAAUGACCAUCCAACUAUUGCUUACUUUUUAUAGAAUAACUUCUUUCCACUCUCAUUGGACCUGUUUGUGCAUGUUUCCUGAAACUCAAUAGUGUUUUGUAUCUUUGGUAGGUUUACAGGAGAUACAAGCAUU
This 444-nucleotide unclassified non-coding RNA is filed under the name Hevea brasiliensis (rubber tree). The record is from RNAcentral. Lineage: Eukaryota; Viridiplantae; Streptophyta; Magnoliopsida; Malpighiales; Euphorbiaceae.